AAUUAUCCUAAACAGAUUUAUUACAAUAUAAUCAUGCGAUAUCUGACAGUAAGUAUUCGGUUAUAAAUGAAAAAUUUGGGUUAUCGGUGUCGGAUAUCUAAAAUUUGCCGACAUAUUUUGUAAUUUUAAAUUUUAAAUUGAUAAUUGAUUUUUUUAUAUAUUUUAUUACACAAUUGAUGAGAAAACCACAUUGUUAAUUAUAUCAUUUUUGUUAAGUAUUAUUAAUAUGAAUAAUAACGCAAACGUAUUAAAUAGUCCUUUAUUGAUAAUGGUAAAAGUUGGAAUGAAUAUAUGCAUGAAUAUUUUCUGUAAGACCAACAAUAAUGGACAGUGCCCACCGUAAUAUGAUAUGUUAUGAUUAUGUAAUACUUAUGGUUAAUAUAACAUGAACGUAUAAUUAUUGUCGCGCUGUAAACGCCUAAUAUACAACAUCAUUUCCUUAAAUAGAAUAAUUAUUUUAGUACAGUACUUAAUUUUCUAUUGUUAGUAUCACUUACAUAUUAGUUAUUAUAUUUGUUAAAUAUAAUUGCCAAAAAGAAUUACAUUAUUUAUAAUCAAUUGGAGAAUAUCGCUGAGGCGAUUUCCUAGACCUAAUUGGCCUGAUAGUUUUAUCUAUCAUUAUAGGAUUGAGAUCUUUAGCUAAAACCUUAUCGCCUACAUUAAAUGAUAUUAUUCUAUUACCUCUAUGGUUUUAUCUGGAUGAAACAAUAAACCAUUAUGUAUAUGCAUUAUAUCAUCCAAAAUAUAUGCAGAUUAUGGUAAAAUAAUUCCGCGGGCAUUAUAUGUUUUCUUUUAUAAUAUUUGUUUAAUAUUGAAUCUAUUUUCCAUUUUUUCUUAGUUUUUCUUAGUUGCUUAGAAAAAUAUUGGGAAAAUUGAAAUAUUGCCUUAUUAAAAAAACAUCCCUAGUUAGAUUUAAUUUUAGAAAAAUUAUUAUCAAUGUAAAUUAGAGAAAAAUAACCGGAAGAAAAGUUAUCCACGGAAAAAAAAAUAUACAUACUUGAAAAACCAUAAACUUCUUUUCUAAGAAUUUAAAACUACUUUCUAGGUGUGAAAGAGGAAUACAUGGAAGUUUACAGAUGAUAAACUAUUGAUAAUAGAAAAUCUGAAAAAAGUUAAAAUAAUAGGCUUGAGAAAUAAAAAAUAGCUCUUGAAGGAAAGGGACUAAAGAUAAACUACUAAAGUGUGGAGGCUGACCAUGUUGUAUGGUUUGGAAUGUUUAGAUGCAGACAGAAAAAUAGAAGAGAAAAUGAUUGUAGCUGAAAUUAGAAUACUUAAGUGGAUGAGUGGACUGAUGAAAGAACAAAGUAUAGAGAAUGAGUUCAUGGAAGGUAGCUUAGUUGUGGCUUCUAUAGUAUUGUUAAAAUGAUAGAGCAUAGACGGAGAAAGUUUCAAUUGUCACGAGUAAAUAAACAAAUUAAACAGUAAGAGUUUUAAAGAAAAUAAAUGUAGGGGAAAUAGGUGAAGAGGAAGACCGAAAACGUCGUGGUUGGAUGCGAUUAAGAAUGAUAUGAAGACACCCGGUGUAUGUGAAAUAGGAAUGAGUGAGACUAACUGAACAUUUUAAUACGAGAGUGGCCAAUCCUUAAUGGUACGGAUAAAGCUAAAAGAGAAUAAGACAGGGGGUAUACACAACACUGGUGGUUCUUAAAUUUUUUUGAAUACGAUAGAGUUACAUGAUAACAUUUAUUAACAUAUUAAAAAUAUUCACCCGAUAUUUAUUUAUUUAUUUUAUAAAUAAUAAAUUAAAAACAAAAUUAUUAAAAUGGUAAAUACUCGUAAAUAAAUAUAGUAAAUCAAUAUAAAUAAAAAUCAAUUUUUAUACAUUUUUUUAUCUUUAAAUUUAUAUAUAAUAUUAAAUAUAUUUUAAUUAACUAACAUAAUAUAUUGUUUUUAUCUAUAUGAUUAUAUCCAUAUUUCAAUUUCAAUAAAUUAUAUUAAAUUCUAUAAUAAUUGUAAAUUAUUCUAGCUACGCCAGCCGAUAAAAUUCGCUUCAGAGUGGCAGGAGGUAUGCAUCGAAAAUAUUUUAUAGAACAUUUAAAAAAUCAACUAAAAUCAUUCAGAUAUUGGUAUUAAAAUAUAAAUUUAUUUAAUUACUAACUAGUUAAUUUUUGUUUAAUAGGAUAUAAAAUUGACAAUGACGGAAGCAAGUGGUUUAAACAAUUAUUGUUUUUAUUUGUCUAUUUAGCAGAUAGCACAAUUACUAUAAGAAUUUUAAAAAUAUAAAUGGUCAUUGAGAAAUUAUUUUGGUUAGUAAUUGAGUUGUAAAAUAUAUCUGUUUAGAUACUUUUUUUUAUAAAUAACACUAAUGAUGCCGCUGCUAUUUUCAAUGAUGCCUUAUAUGAGAAUCCAAGCUUUCCUUAAUGUUUGUCAAAUUAUCUAAAACAACUUAUUAUCAAUAAACAAAAAGCACAUAUUAUCUUUUAAAGGUCUAGUAUUGAUAUAGAUCAAAUUAUUUACCAUAAAGUCAGAGCCAAAUGCAAGUGACUUUCAAAACUAGACUGUUCUUUAUAUAUUUGUCGCACUAAGCUGUUACGACACCAGACGCUGGUCAAGACAUAGUUGUAUUUAUCACAUAUAUGUACGUACACUUCAGAAAUGACAGAACGCGUUGGCGUCGAGGUGACAGUACUCCUUCUCGCACAUCGGUGGUGUGGAUAUACCUUCUGUUGUCCUCAUCUGACUAAACUACUUUUAUGGUUCAAACGGUCGUCUGAUAAAUUGUCGCCUUGGAUUAGAUUGCGAUAGACACCGCUAUCGUUGUUCCCUGAUGCACAUGCUCCGUAUCCGGACACAUUUUCUUCUUGGCCCAUCAAACAUUUACACAUAUCAUCCGCUGUGGUGUGGAAAUGUCUGGUUGUCAUACCCCUAUUAAUGACCCUUACGUACUUAGUUGCGUACAAAUAAUAAUUCUUAUUCAACGAUUUCCUUUUCGCAAUAGAAAGAACAACGUACAUAAGUGUAUAUUAAACAAAACAAUAGUUAAUUCAGGUGUCAGAUCUUCUAGUACAAAUAAAGAAUAUUUGACUAAACAUUUUGAUUUGCUUGACACUAGCCGUCUUACCGGUUAUGAGUUAAAUAAUUGUUGUUAUAUCAGUUGGUAAAGGUCUGUUUGGUCCUAAAUUUAAAAACCAAAUCAUACUGUAGUAUUAGACAAUAUCCAGAUUAAGUAGGUUAAUACUAAAUUGUACAAAUAUGUUUUCAUUAAGUUAAUGUCGAGAUAAUCAACAAUUAUUUCACACCCAUAACCGGAGCACCAGAAGUAUAAAUAUAUUUAAUUUUAAGCCAGUAACUUUGGGUACAAGAUAAUUGUUAAUGAUAAGGAGGGAAUAUGUAACAUAAAACUUGGAGAAAAAGUAAUAAACGAGGUCAUCUCUGGUGAUCGUGUGACGCGAUUUGGACAACAGUAAUAAAGUUUUACCUUUUUCAUUAUGUUUAUUAUUUUUUAACCAUAUAUGCACUUCUUAAUAAUUAGGCAAAUUAUUCGUGAUAUACUAAAUAAUAUUUGGCCAAUUUUUUUUUUAAACAAUUAUGGUUUUUUAUAAAACAAAAUGAUAAUUAUUAUUUUAUUUUUUACUCUCCCAGAUUUACGUUAUAAAGACAAGAGUAUGUAUUUUAUAUUUUGAUAAAAAAUAAUUGAAUCUGCUUUUAUAAUAAGGGUACUGAAUAAUAAAUACAUAUUCGGCACUGUUAGUUAUUGUAUUAUUUUAAUUAUGGUUUCUUGUUUUUCUCGUAAUCAAAUAUUUAUGGAGUAAGGGUAUACCAUAGGUAUUUUUAUUUUUUUACAUUUUUCUCAAUAAAAUUGAUAUAGUAUCUUUGUGAACCUUCGUUUUCCACUAUUUCUACAUUCCGAUAGUUUAGACUAUUUAUGCAUAGCAAUAACAUUUUCCGAUGUUCUUAACUAAUCACAGUAAAGGUGAUCUCUGUUAAACAAAGUUCGAGCAAAAAUUGUUUUUAUUUUAAAUAAUUUUAGGUGAAGUGGUUACAGCCUUAUGGAAAUAUAUUAAAUAAUUAUAAUACAUUUUGUUUUAAAGAUGAACUUGUUACAGGUAUGAAUCUUAAAUAAUUACUUUAGAAUAAAUCAUUUAUUUUUUGAAUACUAACAAUAAAAAAAUAAAUUGCUAUACAAAAUAAUCAAUCCUCGGAAAAUAUACAUUUUUUGGGGGGUCAAUUAUUUAAAUAUCAUGUGCCACACAAUAGGUGUGUUACUACUCUUGCCCAAAUAUAAAACUGAAAAAACUUCGACAGUUGUUUGACGGGAAUUAAAUAUUUUUUCUUAAAAUUGAGUUUAAUCUAAACUUUUUAACAAACUAUAGAAUUUUUAAAAUAGAUUGCUUUUAAAAAUUUAAACUUGUUGUUGUUUAACCUAAAAUUACGAACUUUAUUUUUCUGAUUUAGUGUUAUAUUUCAACCGUUUAUUGUUUACUGAUAUGUUAUCUGUUCCCAAUUUUAAGACUUAAGGGUGAUUGAUUUUUCAAUAUUUAACCAACAGUAAUUACACCGGUCAUAAUUACACGACACUAAUAUUUAUUUAUUUUAUGUGCAUAUUUAUAGUUCCUGGUUCAAACUGAUCAGUAUUUAAAGUUGCUCGAUUUUUAAAAUUUCAAUUAAACCUUUAAUAUAUUCGAUUUGAUGUCGUACAUAAUUUUUUAUCAACAACAUUUUUUAAGGAUAAAUAGUUAAUGUUUUGACAACAUGAUAAAUACAAUCUUUAAUGCUAUUAUUUUCUAAUGAAACAUCAGAACCUCUAAUUCUGUUUCUAAUUCUGAAAAAUGUAUAAUACAAAAGUUUUUGGAUUUAUGGAAAUCUUAAAUAAUUUGCAUAUGUUUUAAUACUGUCCUUUAGGGGAGAAAGAACUUAUGCAAUUUACAUAAAUGGGGUCCUAUAUUUGUUUUCCUAAUUCUUUUUUUUUUCAAUCGAAUCGAGUGUUAUUCAAUGAUUAUGUUCGUUUCAAUACUAUAUUAUAUAAUAUUAUUGUGUAGCUGUUCUCAAAGCUUGUGGCAUUUGAAUAAUGAGUUGAUGGAAUUUUAUUCUCCCACUGACUUAAUUUUAUUUUAAGAUAAUUAACACUCCUAAUUUGAACCAAGAUUUGUUCAAAUUUGCAUAAGUUUUCCGGUUUUUUCCAAUUAUUAGGGUUGUCCUAAAUAAUCGUAAAAUAUCAAAAAUAAAUUACUUUAAUAGUGCACCAAUUUGAUACACAAAAAAAAAAUAACAAAAAAAAAAUCAACAAAUAAGCACUCAUAGAAAAACCAUAUACAUCCACCUUCAAUUGUCUCAUACCAAUCACAAUGAUGGUGGUUUCUCUAAUUUUAAAAUUAAACAAACGGUUUUAUUUAUAAAUCAAUUAUAAGAAAAUUAAAUGUAGCUUAUGGCGCUUAAUUAAAUUAUUCUUAUACAUUUUGUUUAUUCAUACGCUAGUCGAAUUUUCAAAACGCACUCCUGAAAAUAGUUUAGUAAAAUAAUUAUUUAAGGAUUUAUGUUUUUUACUAUUUAAAAAUUUUACUAUUACCAAAAUUUUUUUUUUUAAUUCCCAGAUAUGGAUUGUAAGUAUAAUCUACGAAUACUAGCUACCUACCUUGAUUUUGUGUCCAAAUAAUAAAUAUAUUUCUAAGUCAAAACUAAAAUAUAUUUUUAUGUUUUCUAUAGUGGGAUGCAAAAAUUAUUUGAUGUAUGUUUUAACUACGGUUGUUAGUGGUAAGUACUUAACGAAUUAAAUUGAUGCAAACAAUUUAAACAAUUUAAACAAUUUAAACAUAUGAUGCAAAGUUCUAAUUAUACAAANUUAGUGGUAAGUACUUAACGAAUUAAAUUUAAGAAAACAUAUGAUGCAAAGUUCUAAUUAUACAAAUAUCAGAAACUCGGGAUACUACUCAUACAAUAUGUUUUAAACCGUUUAAUACACAAUAUAUUAAUGAAUAUUAUAAUAAUAAUACACUUACAUUUUGAUUCCCCAUGUGGCCGGGAUCAGAAUACACCCAUUAGCCAUUGUACAUCUACUUGUCGUAUGAGUGAACAAAUGAGUUUGUACUAGGAAAGGUACGUAGCCAGAAAAUUUCUGUCGGGGGGAGCAAAAAUUUGGGUCCUUGUAUAAUUUUCAAUCAUUUGUUCCCAAUGAAAAUACUGUGGGGAUUCUCCUUCACACUCCCUCAUAGAAUGUAUUCCAUGCCAAAAAUUUUACUAAUUCAAAAUUUACCUAUGUUUGGUUAAAAUACAAUUGUUGUUAUAUUUUAAAUGUCUACAGUAGUUUGGUUUUACUGAGUUGUAAAUGAAUUUCAAAGCCAGCAUUAAAGAUUAUCAUUAAAGAAUUAAUACAUUAUAUGUUUUUUUUCAGAUAUAAAGCAACCGUCGGAUUAUUUUAAAUCUUAUUCGCAGGUAUGCAGAUUUAUUUAAUAUCUAAAUUUGAUACCCUAACUGAUAAUUUUACAAAGUUGAAUUUUAAAACGUAUAACCAUUUUAAUAUCAUUUUUUUUACCUUGCACAAAACCCUCAAUUUUCACUUCCCGGCUUACAGUUAUACCGUGAAGGUACGACAUAUAUCAGUGAAUCAACUUGUUAUGAAUUUGAGUACUCGUAUUUGUCUUAACAUUACCGGUUUUAAGCACUCUGCACUAAAAAUAGUACCAGUUUCCUGAAAAAUGUUUUUGCCUUAAAAAUCAUGACUAUAGAAACAGGCAUAUCAGGUGAUAGUGUGAACAAAAUUGAAUUUACUCAAAGAAAAAUCAUGGUUCAAAGAGUCAUUGUAUGAAAAAUAUUCUAUGACCGUAGUUUAGUAUCAAUAUUAUUGUAAUGUUGAAAAAAUGAAUGCUGCAGGAAGAUGAAAUCACCCAGGGUGAAGGCCCAAUGAUAGUAGAUAUCUUGCUGAUAUGAUUGAACAUUUAGCUAUAUCAGAAUAAUUCAGUUCUACAAAACCAAUCAAAUUUAUACAUUUUUUUUCAGCGUUCUGUAUUAAUAUUUACGAUAAUUAAUAUAAAAUUAUAUACAGUUAUAAUAAUUAUAAUAAUAAUAAUAAAUUUCACCAAAAAACAAUAAACAACAACGAUCAACGAACCAAAAACAAAACAAAUGUAUUGUUCUACCCACUUUUUAUUUAUUUUAAAAUGUAUUCAAGAAGAUAAUUUAAUGAACGGAAAUUUAUUAAUGCAACUGAUAUGACACCACGACAACAAGAUUCACCUUGAUUUGUGUUAUAUAACUUAUUUUUUAUUUGUGUAUAGAUAUUAAAUAUGGAUACGGCUUUCCUAUAAUACACGUAUAAUAGUAUGUAUAUUGCUGCACUCGUAAAGAAAUGAACAAUAGUUUUCACUCAAACGAUCAUUCCACAUAACAAAACAUUGAUAAUAAUUCAACAAGCAUGAUGUAAUGAUAUUAUCAUCAUAAGUAUUGUUUGUCCACGCAAAAACUACAUAAUUAUUAUCCAGUUUGGUUACGUGUGACUUACAGUAAACGUAUUAAUAUUUUUUAAUAUUUAGUUCUUAACUAAUUAUAUAUCUAUAUUAAUUUUAUAAUAUUUAUUAAAACUAAAAAUGAUAAACAAAUACAUGAUUUGCAAUCGUAGAUAAGUGCCUCAACAUAAUAUCAUUAAUUUAUUUUUCAUAAAUCAAUAAAUUGAAUUCAAACUAGAUACAGUAAAUGUUCAUGUAAAUGUAUUGUUCCUUACGUAUUUCCUCUGUAUAUAUAAAUUAUAGGUACAAUUUUAUGUUAUUACGCUAUCCAGUGACUAAAAUCGUAUCAGGUGGGUUGAUUUAAAAAUGUGCGUGCGAAUGCCGUAUCCAUUAGUUUAAUAUCUAUGGUAAUUUAUUUUCAACUUUUUCAGGACCUUCAAAGAAUUUUUUUAAGGAGCAAACGUAUAAUUUUUUAUUUUUCAUUAAAUUCCUUAGAAAUUCGUUAGUAAAAAAAAGUAAAAGUACAAUUUUAGUUAGUGAGUUCUUCUGAUUUUAUGCCGACAAGUGUUGUCGUAAAGUAUUUGAAAGUAUAUGAAAAGUAUUUCAGUUUGCAUACUUUUGUUUUGCAAUUGCAUAUAACCGAAGAUUCAGGGUUUUAAUUCUCCCUCAACAAUUUAUACAAAAUAGUGGAAUGUCCAAAACAUGUUUCUCUCCGAAAUAAUAAAUUUCUUGGGCUAGAUAGAUCCCCAUGUAUAUUUAUCAGAUAAUUUACAUUACCCCCCUUGGCAUAUUGCUAUAUGGUUAAAACAAAUAAAAGACGUAAUACUAUACGUAUAUACAACACGCACAGGUAUUUUUAGAAGGCCUAGAUAUAUUCACAGUUAUACAUCAUGUGAUUGCCACAUUUGUGCGCAAAUAAGAGAAGGAUGGAGUUAGAAGAUAUGUUAAAACGACUAAACAAUUUUUAUUGAUUUUUUUGUUUAUCAAUUAUAAUGCGUAUGUGAUAGAACUUUAAUUUUUCGUUUAAACAUUUAUUUUUUUUUAUUAUUAUUAUUACAGAUUAUUACUGAUAUUAGCAAAAUAGCACCCUUCAUAAAAAUAUCUUGGAUCUGUCACAGAUUUACAUAGAUUAUAUAAGAAUGGAUAGAAUAUAAGAAUUGUAUUAAUCAUAAAAUUUAGUAAUACACUUUAACGUUAUAUUGGGUAAAUAUUAAUGUGCAUUUGAUGUAUUAAAAACACAGAACACAACAAUGGACCAUGAUAUCACGUAAAAGUAAAUAAAAAUAAAAAUUGAGUAGGCACACAAAGUUUAAAGUAUGAGUAUUCCAAUUUACAGGCUCAGAUUGACAAUUGUAAAUAUUAUAUUAUAAGUCGUAUAGAUAUUUAUGUUCUGUCGUAGUUAAUAUUUUUCACGCCUUUCAAAAUUACUUUUUACACUAUUCUUUUUUCCAAUCUUUUUAAAUAUCAAACUGUUCCAAAAAAAAUUUUCUAGGCAGUUGGUACUUAUCACAUACAAAUAUUUCAAAAAUACUUUUUACAAACUUUUUAUUUUUACAAAGUUUUCAACUACGUAUUCUCAAUAUUCCAUGUCAAAUUAAUUUUCAAUAGCGAAUUAUCAAUUCUAUUUUUCAACAUCGAAAUACAAAAUCAGUUUUUUAACAGCGAAAUGUCAAAUAAAUGUUCAACGUCUAAGUAUAAAAUAAAUUUUCAACAUCAAUGGGGAUCAUGAGCUAAAUUAUUAUUUUUAUUAUAUAUAUAUAUAUUUUUUUAAAUAGUAUUGUUAAAUGUUUCUGGAAUAGUUAAAUACUUGAAAAGACCGGAAUCUGUAAAUAUAUUUUUUUAAAUAUUGUUUUAUGAUAAGUAUCAACUGCUCUAGAAAAACAUACAUUCUUCUACUGCUACUAUAGUAUUUAGUAGUUACUAAUUUGAUAACUUAUUAAUAAUUAUGAUAUUUUUAUUAUUUAGUAAAACAGUUUUUGUACAUAACAUUAAAAAAAGGUCAAUCUUCUUUCUGUCUUUGUAUGUUCUCUCUUCUCCAGAAAAGCAAAUAGCUCCUUAAUAUGAAACUGUUAUAGCGUGUCUUAUCCAUUCUUCUAUAUAUGGUAUUAAAAUUCAAAAUUCAUAGAACAUCGAACGAUAAGCUAUUUUUGUGACACCAUUUUAUGUUACAGACACUGCAACCACCACCGACAUAAUUACAAAGAUGAACGUGUUGAAAAAUAAUUAAGUAAUAUAAUGAUAAAUUAAUACAUUAUAGAAGAUAAAAAUAAAAAUAUCUUAUGCUAUAUUAUUUUUUUUUUAACUAACUAAUACAUAUUACAUAAUAUGAAAUAACUAAUUUCACAGUUUAAUACGAAUUAUAUGACAAAUUACAUUUUUAUUGUUCAAUAUUUGUGUUGUAAAUUAUAAUAAAGUAUAAUAUUCUUUUUGGAUUCUUUAUUGGUAAUACCUCUAUAACAUUUUUAGUUUUCUGGGUCGACUUAAAUAUUUAUCGCAGUAGUAUUAAUUUAAAUUAUUUAAUAUUUUAUGUAUUCCUUUAUUUAAAAUAAAUUUACAAACAUGUGUAAUAAUAUGGUAGUUUAGUUGGAAUAUUUACAAUGAAUGGAAUGAAUGGAACGACACCGUGACGAUCAUAGGCUAAGAUAAAAUAGAUUGGAAAUGACAGGGUGAAUAACAACAUCGUGGUGUAUAUCACGGAAAGAAAUAUGUUCAUUAGCUUUGCAAUCUCCACCUAUACUAAUAUACAAGUAUACUACAUAAUUGGAUCAACGUGGUCUGGUGCCGGGAGAACGGAACGAGUAAAUAACGUGUAAUUCAUAUUGCAUCAUUUAAACAGAAUCCCUUUAGUGAAGAAACGAUUAUAGAGGGUGAAAAACUAACCCAACUCUUAUGUGCCGAGAAAAACAGGAAAUGGCAUGAAACAAUUGAAAACAUCGACAUGACAAAAAAUAGUAAAAAAGCUUGGGGACUUAUAAAGAAAUUAAACGGAGAUCAGACAAUACAGACGUCCUGUAUAAACGUUACGACAAAUCAGGUAGCCUCAGAAUUACUUCGUAAUGGGAAACCAAACACCAAAAUCAAAAAAAAGGAAGAUCAAGAGGAAUAAAGAGAUAAAAUGCCAUAACUUCCAGGACGAUUUUACGAUGGAGGAGCUAAGUAACAGUUUACAAGAAAUGAAGAACGGUAAAGCGGCAGGAUAUAAAUUGGCUACAAUAUAAGAUUUGACAAAGUUACCGAUCAUUAAUAUUGGUGCUAUUACUAUUUGUUUAUUUGUUUAUUUUAUUUUUUAUUCAUUUAUAUAUAUAUAUAUAUAUGUUACCUAUUUAUAACUAACUGAUUAUUGGCAAUUUUAACUGGAUUUAACUAUUAAUGGUCUUGCAAAUCAAGUUUUAGACUUCAGGGCCCUAUAUAUAUUGUAUAAGAACUUAGAAUAUAACUGUAUAUUUUAUGUACAAUACAUAUAAUGUGAC
Molecule: long non-coding RNA, 10849 nt
Filed under: Cinara cedri
Lineage: Eukaryota; Metazoa; Arthropoda; Insecta; Hemiptera; Aphididae
Source: RNAcentral